UUCUUUAAGAACCCAAUUUAAAGUAAAACCUGCUCAAUGAUAAAUUAAAUAGCCGCAGUUUUACUGUGCUAAGGUAACAUAAUAAUUAGUUUCAUAAUUAGAAAAUAGAAUGAAAGGUUAAACGGGAAAUUCCUGUCUCAAAUUAAUUAAUUAAAUUUUUAUUUUGGUAAAAAAACCAAUUUAAAUAUGAAAGACGACAAGACCCUAAUAAACUUUAUCAUUUAGUUGGGGCAACAAUAUAAUUAUACUUUAUAUUCAUCACAAACCUUAAAUUAUAUUAAAAAUAGAAUAGUUACUAUAGGGAUAACAGCGCAAUUAUUUUUAAAGUUCAUAUUAAAAAAAAUCAUUACGACCUCGAUGUUGAAUUAAUUUAAACAAUUUGGCGCAAAAGCUAAAUAGUUAGGUCUGUUCGACCAAUAAUAAAUU
Molecule: ribosomal RNA, 426 nt
Filed under: Smeringopina bineti
Lineage: Eukaryota; Metazoa; Arthropoda; Arachnida; Araneae; Pholcidae
Description: partial 16S ribosomal RNA
Source: RNAcentral